AACGAACGCUGGCGGCAGGCCUAACACAUGCAAGUCGAGCGGACCCUUCGGGGUUAGCGGCGGACGGGUGAGUAACGCGUGGGAAUAUGCCCUUCUCUACGGAAUAGUCCUGGGAAACUGGGGGUAAUACCGUAUACGCCCUUUGGGGGAAAGAUUUAUCGGGGAAGGAUUAGCCCGCGUUGGAUUAGGUAGUUGGUGGGGUAAUGGCCUACCAAGCCGACGAUCCAUAGCUGGUUUGAGAGGAUGAUCAGCCACACUGGGACUGAGACACGGCCCAGACUCCUACGGGAGGCAGGAGUGGGGAAUCUUAGACAAUGGGGGCAGCCCUGAUCUAGCCAUGCCGCGUGAGUGAUGAAGGCCUUAGGGUUGUAAAGCUCUUUCAGCUGGGAAGAUAAUGACGGUACCAGCAGAAGAAGCCCCGGCUAACUCCGUG
Molecule: ribosomal RNA, 433 nt
Filed under: uncultured bacterium
Lineage: Bacteria
Description: partial 16S ribosomal RNA
Rfam family: Bacterial small subunit ribosomal RNA
Source: RNAcentral